This 975-nucleotide long non-coding RNA is filed under the name Vulpes vulpes (red fox). RNAcentral describes it as "lncRNA (ENSVVUG00000015012.1)". Lineage: Eukaryota; Metazoa; Chordata; Mammalia; Carnivora; Canidae. The record is from RNAcentral.
CAACUAUUACCCCUUUCUAUCAGAUACAUACAAAUUUGAAAAAUUUCCAUAAUUAUCUUUUAUUUUUCAUAUUUUUCAGAAACCUGGCUCCCAUUGAGAUUCCAGAAUCUACAUUCUUGUUUUUCUCUUUCAUGCUAGAAGAUUUCUACACGUUUGGUGACCCUUGGCUAUCUUUCUACAUUUAAGAGUGCAGCUGCCCACAAAGCUGCCAGCCAUGAAUGCCACAGAAACAGAGUGGAGGGAAAUACCAGAGAGAAAGGCUUUUUCCCAACUCAGAAUUUCACUUGUGCCAAGAAUUACGCAGACUCUUAUGAAGACAUUCCAGCAGUUUCUGUCUUGUAAAAGGGACUGAAGAUCUUUCUGCCAUGACAUUUCUCAAAAUAUGCUGCAUAGAUUACCAACUACUUCAUCCAUGUGUUAGAUAAUGCUAUUCAGAUAAUUUGGGCAUAUUACUGUAAAAAAGAGGACCUGCAAGAGGUAAAUUUAUAAGAGAUAAAAUUAUUUUUAGGUAUAUUUUUAUAUUGGGAAAAUGUUUUAAUUUCAGUAGUACCAGUGUCACAGCUGAAUAGCUAUUAGAAAAACGCAUUAAUUAAAAACCUAUUUGUGGAUUAAUUAUGGAUGAGAACUUCUUUAUUAGUUUACAUAUGGCCUUGUGUCUUUUGAAAAACUGUAAUUUUAUACAAAUUUUAAUUGAAGAUGUAUCUCUGCUGAGGAGUACAUACUUAUGAAAUACAAUAUUUUCUUUCUUGGAGACAGCACCAAUGACUAUAUUAAUAUAGAAAGAAUCAAGUUUAAGUGUCAAAAACAAGUUACGCCAUUGAUUUUGUUAAACAAUACGAGAUUCAGAUUCAACUAAUAUUUAUGGAGUCCCUAAUUUGGUCAGAUAUUGUGCUAUUAUAGGUAUCUAUUAUUUAACCUCUAAUUCUUCAGAGUUAGAAAUGAACUUGGUGUUCUUAUUCACAUUUUACAGAUAAG